CCUAACCAGGGCCCAGGCCUGAGAGAAGCCUGCAACCAAGGAAUUCAAGCACAAGGACAAAUAACUCCUCCAUCACAGUAGGAAAUGAAAUGGAGCCCUGGGAAAGGUGUGUAUGUACGCACACAUGCAUGUUCCUUUAAUACAUCUAAAGUAAAUUCACUUUAAUGUAAACCUGAAGGCAAAUAAUCUUGGUGAGUUCGCAGAGGCUGAAGAGAAGAAUGUAAACAGAAGACUAGACAGUAAGGAGAGCCCACAGGCCUUCCCCAGCAGAGACAGAGUAUGUACCUCUAGACUCAGGGAGGAAAUGUGGAACAGUGGGACAGUGGGACAGAUUAUCCUGUCCAACAAAUACAAUGCAGGUUAAAGUUUUUCUCAUAUUCAUAGUAAAAAAGAAACAUGAAAUUAAUUAUUUUAGAUAUUUAACUUAAUCCAACUACCCAAAACAAUCAUUUCUGUAUCUGUAAUAGUAAAAGCAUAAUAUGCUAAUUAGACUGGACAUCCUUCCAGAUGAAUCUGGGGCUGUGAGGGCCGAGCCCCUUGCAUGAAUUUCGUGCAUCGGGCCUCUAGUAUAAUAUAAACAAUUGAAUUAAAGUAAAUUCAUCUUCUCAGUUACAGUAGCCACAUUUGAAGUGCUCAGCCACAUAUGACUAACAGCUACCUUAUUCUAUAGCCCAGACAUAUUCAUUUUCCUCAUGGAACUCCUCUAAUGUGAUGUGAAGCUGACAAAGUAAUACAUCUGAAUAAUUGUGAGACUUCAAUCUACUGCUUAAAGACUCUGCAGCACAAUAAAGUUUGACAACAGUCUCUGUAGAGAACUCAUUAGGAAUGCAGAUUUCCAGAUGCUAACCCCAGAGAACACCAA
Myotis myotis is the source of this 862-nucleotide long non-coding RNA. RefSeq lists it as uncharacterized. NCBI's taxonomy places the organism in Eukaryota, Metazoa, Chordata, Mammalia, Chiroptera, Vespertilionidae. The record is from RefSeq and is a predicted model, not a curated record. The transcript is spliced from 3 exons.